GCCCCAGACUCCUACGGGAGGCAGCAGUGAGGAAUAUUGGUCAAUGGGCGCAAGCCUGACCCAGCAAUGCCGCGUGAAGGAAGAAGGCCCUCGGGUUGUAAACUUCUUUUAUCAGGGACGAAGGAUGUGACGGUACCUGAUGAAUAAGCUCCGGCUAACUACGUGCCAGCAGCCGCGGUAAUACGUAGGGAGCAAGCGUUAUCCGGAUUUACUGGGUGUAAAGGGCGUGUAGGCGGGGACGUAAGUCAGAUGUGAAAACCACGGGCUCAACCUGUGGCCUGCACUUGAAACUGUGUUUCUUGAGUACUGGAGAGGCAGACGGAAUUCCUAGUGUAGCGGUGAAAUGCGUAGAUAUUAGGAGGAACACCAGUGGCGAAGGCGGUCUGCUGGACAGCAACUGACGCUGAGGCGCGAAAGCGUGGGGAGCAAACAGGAUUAGAUACCCCCGUAA
This 451-nucleotide ribosomal RNA is filed under the name uncultured bacterium. Its description in RNAcentral is "bacterial SSU rRNA". It matches the Rfam family "Bacterial small subunit ribosomal RNA", at positions 328 to 793 of the family's 1533-position model. The record is from RNAcentral.